Long non-coding RNA from Musa acuminata AAA Group (dessert banana), 754 nucleotides. RefSeq lists it as uncharacterized. Lineage: Eukaryota; Viridiplantae; Streptophyta; Magnoliopsida; Zingiberales; Musaceae. The transcript has 2 exons. The record is from RefSeq and is a predicted model, not a curated record.
GGAGGAGAAGAAGAGAAGAAGAAGAAGAAGAAGAAGAAGAAAAGAGGAGGUUGUAACACCCCUCAAUUCCGAAUGUUCGUAUAAAUUUUUGGUGAUAAUGUAAGCAUCUAUUUUAAUUGAUAAAAGAAAUAGAGUAUGAAUCAGAGGUAACUUAUUUUUAAGAUUUGGGAGAUCUGUUCAAAAAAAAAAAAAAAAAAAAAAAAAGAAAGAAUCUGAGGACCUAUAUGUAAACCCUAAGGACCUAAUCGUGAAUAUGAUAAAAACAAGGACUAAACUGCAAAAUGCACCAAAUGACAAAUUCCACCGCUUAAGCCUCUCUGCCUUCGUUGUUAAGGAAGCAGAGGAGGCAGCUCGUGGGUGAUCAGGGAAAGAAAAGAAGAAGAAGAAGAAGAAGAAGAAGAAGGAGAAGAGAAAGAAAAUUUGGGGCUUUUAGGGUUUUUGCUUUAAUCUUGUUACUUCGGGUCAAAAUUUGCAAAGGAUAGCGUAACUCUUGCUUAAAUGUUAAGAAUGGGCUGAGGCAGUGGAAAGUUUAGAAGACGUUGGGCAGAACUUUUGUUAGCAUAUAUGUAGUUGUGUAUAAGCUACGCUGCAUCUAAUGAAAUGUGACUAUGAAUCUAAACCUGUGGAUUUUGUGUAAGUUAAAGGAUCCCUCAUGUAUAGGGUUUUGGAAUGUUAAAUUAAAUUCGUGUAAUGAUAUGAACUUAUGGUAAAUCGAUGAUUGUGGUGACUGCAUGGAUUUCCCCACUUGUGGAUU